ACUGCCUUAUCCUAAAAGUGAAGGUGUUGCCUCUUUAAGGCAGCCUGGUGGUCAAGUCAUUUGUUUACUUUUCAGCGUGCAUCGUUAGUCAACCAGCUGUGAUGUUUUCACGUUCUAAGCCUUAAAAUGGAACCUUACACAAGGAUUUUCAUGGUGACUUUUAAGUUUUCAGGAGAUAAACUUCUAAUCUCAUCUAAGUGGAUGGUCAGCAUUGAGGGGAAAGUGACACAUUGCAUUGAAGAGAAGCUGGAUUUUCACUCUCUGCACUUUUUGGUUGCUUUUAUUUUUUUAAUAUUGAGUACCAGAAGUCAGCCAGUGCAACACUUGAGCUUAUUCAAAGUUAAAAGAAAGGUUCAAAAUGUGAAUCCACGUGUCCAUACAUUUUUGCAGAGCCUUACCGAAUCUGAAUGGAAAACAU
Carassius auratus (goldfish) is the source of this 418-nucleotide long non-coding RNA. RefSeq lists it as uncharacterized. NCBI's taxonomy places the organism in Eukaryota, Metazoa, Chordata, Actinopteri, Cypriniformes, Cyprinidae. The record is from RefSeq and is a predicted model, not a curated record. The transcript has 3 exons.